GGCCUCUCCCCCUGGGGGCCGUGGGGGGCCAGUUUCUCCUCAGCCAAGGAGAAAGCCAAGAUCAGUCCUGAGGAUGAUUGUCAGGACUGCCAAGAGCUGGGCAGCCUUGUUUCCCUGCCUCAGACAUUC
Molecule: non-coding RNA, 129 nt
Organism: Prolemur simus (greater bamboo lemur)
Lineage: Eukaryota; Metazoa; Chordata; Mammalia; Primates; Lemuridae
Source: Ensembl